AGCGAACGCUGGCGGCAGGCCUAACACAUGCAAGUCGAACGAACCUUUCGGGGUUAGUGGCGGACGGGUGAGUAACACGUGGGAACGUGCCUUUAGGUUCGGAAUAACUCAGGGAAACUUGUGCUAAUACCGAAUGUGCCCUUCGGGGGAAAGAUUUAUCGCCUUUAGAGCGGCCCGCGUCUGAUUAGCUAGUUGGUUGAGGUAAUGGCUCACCAAGGCGACGAUCAGUAGCUGGUCUGAGAGGAUGAUCAGCCACAUUGGGACUGAGACACGGCCCAAACUCCUACGGGAGGCAGCAGUGGGGAAUCUUGCGCAAUGGGCGAAAGCCUGACGCAGCCAUGCCGCGUGAAUGAUGUAGGUCUUAGGAUUGUAAAAUUCUUUCACCGGGGACGAUAAUGACGGUACCCGGAGAAGAAGCCCCGGCUAACUUCGUG
This 434-nucleotide ribosomal RNA is filed under the name uncultured bacterium. RNAcentral describes it as "partial 16S ribosomal RNA". It matches the Rfam family "Bacterial small subunit ribosomal RNA", at positions 29 to 507 of the family's 1533-position model. The record is from RNAcentral.